CCUUCAACACCUUCACCUACAACACCUUCACCAUUUCCUUCACCUACGACACCUGUAACGCCUUCACCUACGACACCUGUAACACCUUCACCUCCUUCGCCAUUUCCUUCACCUCCGUCAUUUCCUUCACCUACGCCACCUGUAACUCCUUCACCAGUACCUUCACCUCCAUCACCCACAACACCUUCACCUCCAUCACCUACAACAGUACCACCUGUUCAUAGUCCUUCUC
RNAcentral lists this unclassified non-coding RNA (232 nucleotides) under uncultured bacterium. RNAcentral describes it as "contains 16S-23S intergenic spacer region". The record is from RNAcentral.